UUUGCGGAGAGUUUGAUCCUGGCUCAGGAUGAACGCUGGCGGCGUGCCUAAUACAUGCAAGUCGAACGAGGUGCUUUUGUAGCAAUACGAAAGUAUCCUAGUGGCGAACGGGUGAGUAACGCGUUGGUGACCUACCCCAAAGUGUGGGAUAACAGUCCGACAGGAUUGCUAAUACCGCAUGUGGUUAUUGGAUUUAGAAACCGAUAACUAAAGGAGCAAUUCGCUUUGGGAGGGACCUGCGUCCCAUCAGCUAGUUGGUGAGGUAAUGGCUCACCAAGGCU
This 281-nucleotide ribosomal RNA is filed under the name Anaerolineales bacterium. RNAcentral describes it as "partial 16S ribosomal RNA". It matches the Rfam family "Bacterial small subunit ribosomal RNA", at positions 1 to 275 of the family's 1533-position model. Lineage: Bacteria; Bacillati; Chloroflexota; Anaerolineae; Anaerolineales. The record is from RNAcentral.